GAUGAACGCUGGCGGCGUGCUUAACACAUGCAAGUCGAACGAAGCACUUUACCUGAUUUCCUUCGGGGAUGAUUGUUCUGUGACUGAGUGGCGGACGGGUGAGUAACGCGUGGAUAACCUGCCUCACACAGGGGGAUAACAGUUGGAAACGACUGCUAAUACCGCAUAAGCGCACAGCACCGCAUGGUGCAGUGUGAAAAACUCCGGUGGUGUGAGAUGGAUCCGCGUCUGAUUAGCUAGUUGGCGGGGUAACGGCCCACCAAGGCGACGAUCAGUAGCCGGCCUGAGAGGGCGACCGGCCACAUUGGGACUGAGACACGGCCCAGACUCCUACGGGAGGCAGCAGUGGGGAAUAUUGCACAAUGGGGGAAACCCUGAUGCAGCGACGCCGCGUGAGCGAUGAAGUAUUUCGGUAUGUAAAGCUCUAUCAGCAGGGAAGAUAAUGACGGUACCUGACUAAGAAGCUCCGGC
Molecule: ribosomal RNA, 471 nt
Filed under: uncultured bacterium
Lineage: Bacteria
Description: bacterial SSU rRNA
Rfam family: Bacterial small subunit ribosomal RNA
Source: RNAcentral